GAUGUACUCCCUUCGUCCGAAAAUACUUGUCUUCAAAAUGGAUAAAAAAAGGGUGUAUUUAGAACUAAAAUACAUCUAGAUACAUUCCCUUUUAUUCAUUUUGAUGACAAGUAUUUCUGGACAAAAGGAGUACUUG
This is a non-coding RNA of Triticum urartu, 136 nucleotides long. Lineage: Eukaryota; Viridiplantae; Streptophyta; Magnoliopsida; Poales; Poaceae. The record is from Rfam.